CCUACGGGUGGCAGCAGUGGGGAAUAUUGCACAAUGGGCGCAAGCCUGAUGCAGCCAUGCCGCGUGUGAAGAAGGCCUUUGGGUUGUAAAGCACUUUCAGCGGGGAGGAAGGCGUUAAGGUUAAUAACCUUGGCGAUUGACGUUACCCGCAGAAGAAGCACCGGCUAACUCCGGCCAGCAGCCGCGGUAAUACGGAGGGUGCAAGCGUGAAUCGGAAUUACUGGGCGUAAAGCGCACGCAGGCGGUCUGUCAAGUCGGAUGUGAAAUCCCCGGGCUCAACCUGGGAACUGCAUUCGAAACUGGCAGGCUAGAGUCUUGUAGAGGGGGGUAGAAUUCCAGGUGUAGCGGUGAAAUGCGUAGAGAUCUGGAGGAAUACCGGUGGCGAAGGCGGCCCCCUGGACAAAGACUGACGCUCAGGUGCGAAAGCGUGGGGAGCAAACAGGAUUAGAUACCCGGGUAGUC
Molecule: ribosomal RNA, 462 nt
Filed under: uncultured Klebsiella sp.
Lineage: Bacteria; Pseudomonadati; Pseudomonadota; Gammaproteobacteria; Enterobacterales; Enterobacteriaceae
Description: bacterial SSU rRNA
Rfam family: Bacterial small subunit ribosomal RNA
Source: RNAcentral